CCCACAGCUGUCCUGUCCCCUGCAUGGUACAAGGAAUUUCAGGCCCUAGGUCAGCUCCUCUUAGAGGACAGCCAAAAUUGUGAGGUACAGCCUGUUGGGAGAUCAGCUGAGUUCUUGGGGCUAAGGAAUGUCCUGGAUCAAGCCUCAUCUAGACAACUAACUUCUUGGGACCUUGAUUUUCCCAAGCCCUGUUCCCAGUCCUUGGAGAAAGUUGGACAGGCAGCCUGUGGAUGCUGGUGCUGAGGGGCCAGGUCAGCAGUUACUCCUGCCCUUUCAAUCUCUCACAGUGUGAAGGAGCAAAACCUCUCCCAGAGCAUAAGGACCACCCACCCCAGUGCAGAGCUGUGCAAACCUGAAAAGCCUCAUAGACUGGAAUCAUGGUCCAGGUUCAUGGGAGAGUGAUCCUGGAGGCUUUCAGUGAGCAAGACCUGGAGGGAGCAUGUCCCAGCUGUCAGGGACCUUCCCUUCCCCUUGAACCUGACAUAUGUGUGCUCCCUCAGCACCAAAGCUUUCUGUGUAUUACUUUGAAAUGAUGUGCUCACUUAUCUGAGGGCCAGGUUUAUUUAUUCAGAGCCAAAUGGGAUGGACUAUUAUUAAAGAGGCAAGAAAGAAUUGGAUUGUAAAGUCUAGUUAUAUUUUCAUUGUCAAAAUUCCCAACUUACAGCCAGGCUGCUCCAGG
RNAcentral lists this long non-coding RNA (679 nucleotides) under Marmota monax (woodchuck). Lineage: Eukaryota; Metazoa; Chordata; Mammalia; Rodentia; Sciuridae. The record is from RNAcentral.